Molecule: ribosomal RNA, 447 nt
Filed under: uncultured bacterium
Lineage: Bacteria
Description: bacterial SSU rRNA
Rfam family: Bacterial small subunit ribosomal RNA
Source: RNAcentral
CCCAGACUCCUACGGGAGGCAGCAGUGGGGAAUAUUGCACAAUGGGGGAAACCCUGAUGCAGCGACGCCGCGUGAGUGAAGAAGUAAUUCGUUAUGUAAAGCUCGAUCAGCAGGGAAGAAAAUGACGGUACCUGACUAAGAAGCCCCGGCUAACUACGUGCCAGCAGCCGCGGUAAUACGUAGGGGGCAAGCGUUAUCCGGAUUUACUGGGUGUAAAGGGAGCGUAGACGGUAGAGCAAGUCUGAAGUGAAAGCCCGCGGCUCAACUGCGGGACUGCUUUGGAAACUGUUCAACUGGAGUGCUGGAGAGGUAAGCGGAAUUCCUAGUGUAGCGGUGAAAUGCGUAGAUAUUAGGAGGAACACCGGUGGCGAAGGCGGCCUGCUGGACUGUAACUGACGUUGAGGCUCGAAAGUGUGGGGAGUAAACAGGAUUAGAUACCCCGGUACC